Long non-coding RNA from Sphaeramia orbicularis (orbiculate cardinalfish), 173 nucleotides. RefSeq lists it as uncharacterized. The transcript is spliced from 3 exons. Lineage: Eukaryota; Metazoa; Chordata; Actinopteri; Kurtiformes; Apogonidae. The record is from RefSeq and is a predicted model, not a curated record.
GUUGGCCAGGCACCAAACCGAGGCAGGAGACGGAUGGAGAGGCUGCCCUCCAAGUCAGCCAUUCAGGAACUUCAAGGAAUCCUGGAGAACUUCAACAGAACCUCCCACCAACCAAAGACAGCACCUCCGUCCACUGAUCCAGACCAGGACCCAGACCAGGACCAAGACCAGGA